RNAcentral lists this non-coding RNA (27 nucleotides) under Cricetulus griseus (Chinese hamster). The record is from RNAcentral. Lineage: Eukaryota; Metazoa; Chordata; Mammalia; Rodentia; Cricetidae.
CAACGACUGUGUGAAUUGCUAACAGAU